AACACGGUGGUCUAGCGGUCAGAACACUAGCCUUGUAAGCCUGGGGUCCCGGGUUCAAUUCCCGGUGGUGCUC
This 73-nucleotide transfer RNA is filed under the name Zootermopsis nevadensis. It matches the Rfam family "tRNA". Rfam says of the family: Transfer RNA (tRNA) molecules are approximately 80 nucleotides in length. Their secondary structure includes four short double-helical elements and three loops (D, anti-codon, and T loops). Further hydrogen bonds mediate the characteristic L-shaped molecular structure. tRNAs have two regions of fundamental functional importance: the anti-codon, which is responsible for specific mRNA codon recognition, and the 3' end, to which the tRNAs corresponding amino acid is attached (by aminoacyl-tRNA synthetases). tRNAs cope with the degeneracy of the genetic code in two manners: having more than one tRNA (with a specific anti-codon) for a particular amino acid; and 'wobble' base-pairing, i.e. permitting non-standard base-pairing at the 3rd anti-codon position. Lineage: Eukaryota; Metazoa; Arthropoda; Insecta; Blattodea; Termopsidae. The record is from Rfam by way of RNAcentral.